This 446-nucleotide ribosomal RNA is filed under the name uncultured Phyllobacteriaceae bacterium. RNAcentral's name for it is "bacterial SSU rRNA". It matches the Rfam family "Bacterial small subunit ribosomal RNA", at positions 29 to 505 of the family's 1533-position model. The record is from RNAcentral. Lineage: Bacteria; Pseudomonadati; Pseudomonadota; Alphaproteobacteria; Hyphomicrobiales; Phyllobacteriaceae.
AACGAACGCUGGCGGCAGGCUUAACACAUGCAAGUCGAACGGAUCCUUCGGGAUUAGUGGCAGACGGGUGAGUAACGCGUGGGAAUCUACCUAUCUCUACGGAACAACAGUUGGAAACGACUGCUAAUACCGUAUACGCCCCCCUUUGUAAUAAUUGGGUGGGGAAAGAUUUAUCGGAGAUAGAUGAGCCCGCGUUAGAUUAGCUAGUUGGUGAGGUAAUGGCUCACCAAGGCGACGAUCUAUAGCUGGUCUGAGAGGAUGAUCAGCCACACUGGGACUGAGACACGGCCCAGACUCCUACGGGAGGCAGCAGUGGGGAAUAUUGGACAAUGGGGGCAACCCUGAUCCAGCCAUGCCGCGUGAGUGAUGAAGGCCCUAGGGUUGUAAAGCUCUUUCAACGGUGAAGAUAAUGACGGUAACCGUAGAAGAAGCCCCGGCUAACUUCG